RNAcentral lists this ribosomal RNA (390 nucleotides) under Triticum aestivum (bread wheat). Its description in RNAcentral is "partial small subunit ribosomal RNA". The record is from RNAcentral. Lineage: Eukaryota; Viridiplantae; Streptophyta; Magnoliopsida; Poales; Poaceae.
AUGUGCAUCAACACCAGAACCAUGUUCCUGAUCAUGGACGCUGUUGUGUCCCUCACCGGCUCUCUCCUUGCCAUCACCGACAGGGUUGUGCAGGCCACUACUCGCGCAACUACUUUGCAGUGUGGAGCAUGCCAUCGAGAUAGACCAAAAGAAGAACACCGCCGGCAACAACACCAAUGGGGGCCUCCCUGGUUUCCACCACCGCUGUUGCCAUCGUCUCCCUCCCCGCCGCCCCACACCACACUGCCAGAUAGGUCUGUGUGCUUUGCCCUUGCCCCCUGCUUAUUGCACUCAGGAUGUGUUGGUGCCAUGCUUUGCCUAUAUGUAAUCUCCUAUUCUGUUGUAAAAUUCUUUUUGCUUAUGAUUUCUUACUGUAGUGUGAAAUUUUAA